CCUACGGGAGGCAGCAGUAAGGAAUAUUGGUCAAUGGACGAAAGUCUGAACCAGCCAUGCCGCGUGAAGGAUGAAGGCCCUCUGGGUUGUAAACUUCUUUUAUCUGGGACGAAAAAAGGGAAUUCUUUCUCACUUGACGGUACCAGAGGAAUAAGCACCGGCUAACUCCGUGCCAGCAGCCGCGGUAAUACGGAGGGUGCAAGCGUUAUCCGGAUUUACUGGGUUUAAAGGGAGCGUAGGUGGGCAGGUAAGUCAGUGGUGAAAUCUCCGGGCUUAACCCGGAAACUGCCAUUGAUACUAUCUGUCUUGAAUAUUCUGGAGGUAAGCGGAAUAUGUCAUGUAGCGGUGAAAUGCUUAGAUAUGACAUAGAACACCAAUUGCGAAGGCAGCUUACUACGGGAUUAUUGACACUGAGGCUCGAAAGCGUGGGGAUCAAACAGGAUUAGAUACCCUGGUAGUCCACGCCCUAAACGAUGGAUACUCGACAUCAGCGAUACACUGUUGGUGUCUGAGCGAAAAGCAUUAAGUAUCCCACCUGGGAAGUACGAUCGCAAAGAUUGAAACUUAAAAUGAAUUGACGG
RNAcentral lists this ribosomal RNA (581 nucleotides) under uncultured bacterium. RNAcentral's name for it is "bacterial SSU rRNA". It matches the Rfam family "Bacterial small subunit ribosomal RNA", at positions 338 to 916 of the family's 1533-position model. The record is from RNAcentral.